RNAcentral lists this ribosomal RNA (2134 nucleotides) under bioreactor metagenome. RNAcentral's name for it is "bacterial LSU rRNA". It matches the Rfam family "Bacterial large subunit ribosomal RNA", at positions 3 to 2178 of the family's 2925-position model. The record is from RNAcentral.
UCAAGCGAAUAAGAGCGUAGGGUGGAUGCCUUGGCACUAAGAGCCGAUGAAAGACGUGAUAAGCUGCGAAAAGCUUCGGGGAGGAGCAAAUAUCCUUUGAUCCGGAGAUAUCUGAAUGGGGAAACCCGGCUGAGCAAACCUCAGUCACUGCAUGGUGAAUCCAUAGCCAUGCAGAGGGAACCCGGUGAACUGAAACAUCUAAGUAGCCGGAGGAAGAGAAAGAAACAUCGAUUCCCAAAGUAGCGGCGAGCGAAAUGGGAAGAGCCCAAACCAGCGUGCGUGCAUGCUGGGGUUAAGGACUGCAAACGUGAACCGAUUUGUUAGUGGAACUGUCUGGGAAGUCAGGCCAUAGAGGGUGAAAGCCCCGUACACGAAAACAAUAGGAAGCAGCAGGAUCCAGAGUACCACGAGACACGAGAAACCUUGUGGGAAGUCGGAGGGACCACCCUCCAAGGCUAAAUACUCCUUAGUGACCGAUAGCGCAUAGUACUGUGAAGGAAAGGUGAAAAGGACCCCGGGAGGGGAGUGAAAAAGAACCUGAAACCCUGUGUUUACAAGCUGUGGAAGCACGUUAAGGUGCGACCGCGUACUUUUUGUAGAACGGUCCGGCGAGUUGCCGGUACUGGCAAGGUUAAGAGCUGAAGGCUCGGAGCCGAAGGGAAACCAAGUCUCAAAUGGGCGUCAAGUCAGUACAGGCAGACCCGAAACCGGGUGACCUAUCCAUGUCCAGGUUGAAGCGGAAGUAAAAUUCCGUGGAGGACCGGAUCCACAUCCGUUGAAAAGGGUGGGAAUGAGGUGUGGAUAGGGGAGAAAUUCCAAUCGAACCCGGAGAUAGCUGGUUCUCCUCGAAAUAGCUUUAGGGCUAGCCUCAUAUUAGUUUAGCGGAGGUAGAGCACUGAAUUCCUAAGGGGGCGUCAAAGCUUACCAAGGGAUAUCAAACUCCGAAUGCCGCAUAAAUGAUGUAUGGGAGUCAGACUGCACGAGAUAAGUUGGGUAGUCAAAAGGGAAAGAGCCCAGACCUACAGCUAAGGUCCCAAAGUGUGUGUUAAGUGGAAAAGGAUGUGGGAUUUCAAAGACAACUAGGAUGUUGGCUCAGAAGCAGCCAUACAUUCAAAGAGUGCGUAAUAGCUCACUAGUCGAGAGGUCCUGCGCCGAAAAUGUCCGGGGCUAAAACACAACACCGAAGCUAAGGAAUGGUAACAUUGGUAGAGGAGCAUUCUUAAUGAGAAGAAGCUGUACCGUAAGGAGCAGUGGAUUAUUAAGAAGAGAGAAUGCCGGAAUGAGUAGCGAGAUUUAAGUGAGAAUCUUAAAGGCCGAAUAUCUAAGGUUUCCAGGGUAAAGCUGAUCUGCCCUGGGUAAGUCGGGACCUAAGGCGAGGUCGAAAGACGUAGUCGAUGGACAACAGGUUGAAAUUCCUGUACUGCAUAAUGACAGAACUGUGGGGACACGGGCAGAAAGUCUGAGCCGGAAAUGGAAAAGCCGGUGCAAGCGAAGGAGCCGUGUGGGAGGAAAAACCCCCAUGCAAGGCAGAAGCGUGACGCGGAGCGAAAUCAAGUAGCGAAGCAGACAGGCUGGCCGUCAAGAAAAGCCGCUAUUGUUCAUUAUGUACCCGUACCGUAAACCGACACAGGUGGAUGAGGAGAGAAUCCUAAGGCCGACGGAAGAAGUAUUGUUAAGGAACUCGGCAAAAUGACCCCGUAACUUCGGGAGAAGGGGUGCCUGGGAAACCAGGCCGCAGAGAAUUGGUCCAAGCAACUGUUUAACAAAAACACAGGUUUAUGCAAAACCGCAAGGUGAAGUAUAUGAGCUGACGCCUGCCCGGUGCUGGAAGGUUAAGAGGAGAUGUCAGAGCAAUCGAAGCAUUGAAUUCAAGCCCCAGUAAACGGCGGCCGUAACUAUAACGGUCCUAAGGUAGCGAAAUUCCUUGUCGGGUAAGUUCCGACCCGCACGAAAGGCGUAAUGAUUUGGACGCUGUCUCGACAAUACAUCCGGUGAAAUUGAAGUACCAGUGAAGAUGCUGGUUACCUGCGCCAGGACGGAAAGACCCCAUGGAGCUUUACUCCAGCUUGAUACUGGGAUUCGAUAUUGCAUGUACAGGAUAGGUGGGAGGCUAAGAAAUGGAGACGCCAGUCUU